UACGUAGGGUGCGAGCGUUGUCCGGAAUUAUUGGGCGUAAAGGGCUCGUAGGCGGUUUGUCGCGUCGGGGGUGAAAACCCAGGGCUUAACCCUGGGCUGGCUUCCGAUACGGGCAGACUAGAGGUAUGCAGGGGAGAACGGAAUUCCUGGUGUAGCGGUGAAAUGCGCAGAUAUCAGGAGGAACACCGGUGGCGAAGGCGGUUCUCUGGGCAUUACCUGACGCUGAGGAGCGAAAGUGUGGGGAGCGAACAGG
Molecule: ribosomal RNA, 253 nt
Filed under: uncultured bacterium
Lineage: Bacteria
Description: partial 16S ribosomal RNA
Rfam family: Bacterial small subunit ribosomal RNA
Source: RNAcentral